This 329-nucleotide unclassified non-coding RNA is filed under the name soil metagenome. RNAcentral's name for it is "partial contains 5.8S ribosomal RNA, internal transcribed spacer 2, and large subunit ribosomal RNA". The stretch from base 1 to 120 matches the Rfam family "5.8S ribosomal RNA", at positions 35 to 154 of the family's 154-position model. The record is from RNAcentral.
GAUGAAGAACGUAGCGAAAUGCGAUAACUAAUGUGAAUUGCAGAAUUCCGUGAAUCAUCGAGUCUUUGAACGCACAUUGCGCCCCCUGGUAUUCCGGGGGGCAUGCCUGUCCGAGCGUCAUUACAACCCUCAAGCUCAGCUUGGUGUUGGGCCCCGCCGCCCCGGCGGGCCCUAAAGUCAGUGGCGGUGCCGUCCGGCUCCGAGCGUAGUAAUUCUUCUCGCUCUGGAGGUCCGGUCGUGUGCUCGCCAGCAACCCCCAAUUUUUUUCAGGUUGACCUCGCAUCAGGUAGGGAUACCCGCUGAACUUAAGCAUAUCAAUAAGCGGAGGA